UACAGAGGGUGCGAGCGUUGUCCGGAAUCACUGGGCGUAAAGGGCGCGUAGGUGGUGGCUUAAGCGUGCGGUGAAAGCUCGGGGCUCAACCCCGAGUCGGCCGUGCGAACUGGGCUCACUGGAGCAUAGUAGAGGCAGGUGGAAUUCCGGGUGUAGCGGUGGAAUGCGUAGAGAUCCGGAAGAACACCGGUGGCGAAGGCGGCCUGCUGGGCUAUGGGCGUGACACGUG
RNAcentral lists this ribosomal RNA (229 nucleotides) under uncultured bacterium. Its description in RNAcentral is "partial 16S ribosomal RNA". It matches the Rfam family "Bacterial small subunit ribosomal RNA", at positions 524 to 748 of the family's 1533-position model. The record is from RNAcentral.